Molecule: small nuclear RNA, 112 nt
Organism: Phascolarctos cinereus (koala)
Lineage: Eukaryota; Metazoa; Chordata; Mammalia; Diprotodontia; Phascolarctidae
Source: Ensembl
GUCCUGCCAGCUUCAGUAGUACAUAUACUAAAAUUGGAAUGAUACAAAGGAGAUUAUAAGAUAGCCUGUGUUCAAGGAUGAUACACAGAUUCAUGAAGCCUUCCAUAUAUGG